GGGAUAGAAUCAAGGAUUCUGACAUUAUUGUCAAGUACACUGUCUCAAUCAGUGCUUCUUCACUUUCGACUGCAGCAUCCUGAGCACCUGUUGAAACACAGUGGAUGGCUGAGAAGCCAAUGAAUGGAGAAGUUGAGUAAAAGUGUAUGGAGAAAUUAAGAACCAUACUUAUGAGCGCUUAAAGCACGAGAGAAGAAAUGAAGAAGUGAUGUCUUCUGGCAAACUGAACUAUUACAUUCCUAGUUGUGAACCCUUAUUUCAUUCCAAGACAAGCGAGAGAGACUGUUCAGCAAGAAGAAAAGUUUCCAUGGCCUUUGGAGUUACAAGUUAUGAGUGAUCUCUGCAACUGCAGAGGGAAUCUGUGACCAAAAAAAAAAAAAAAAAAAAAAAAAAAAAAAGGCUGCUUUUAUUUUCUUGUCUGCAACUACAUUUUGUGUAUCCAGUCUUAUUUCCAAGAUAAAUCUUUCAACUUCCUCAUUC
This 480-nucleotide long non-coding RNA is filed under the name Phasianus colchicus (ring-necked pheasant). Its description in RNAcentral is "lncRNA (ENSPCLG00000014253.1)". Lineage: Eukaryota; Metazoa; Chordata; Aves; Galliformes; Phasianidae. The record is from RNAcentral.